Long non-coding RNA from Epinephelus fuscoguttatus (brown-marbled grouper), 4514 nucleotides. RefSeq lists it as uncharacterized. The record is from RefSeq and is a predicted model, not a curated record. NCBI's taxonomy places the organism in Eukaryota, Metazoa, Chordata, Actinopteri, Perciformes, Serranidae. The transcript has 4 exons.
CCUGCGGAGGGAAACAGGGCGACAGGCAGACCUGGAGUCUGGACGCACUUCACACACAUUUCUGCCAAAAACUCCACAGGAAAAAAACCCACAGUGACGGGCCUGAAGAUGUUUCAGCAGGGCUCUCUUUGUUUUAAAGUAGCUGCUCUGUAUUUCCUGCUGCUGAUACUGAUGCCGCGUUACAUCACAACGUAUUGAUCUAACGCGUAGUUAAGAUCAGCCAAGUGUGAGGAAACAUUCCCAUCAGCUUCGUUAUGAGUCUCAGUACGAGGAGGAGACAUUAUAAACAAACAAACUACAGCCAGAAUUAAACUGCAGAGCUGCUGCUGAUGGACUUAAAUGUAAAAUCCAACUUUAACAGUCGAGCUAACAUUAGUGUCACCGACUGUUCUGUUUGUAUGUCCCUCUUGAGUUGCCGUAGGGCAGAGACAGUUUGGGGACUUGUGCUUCUGUGAGAGUUUUGGUGUGAAGAAAACUGAACGGGCAGCGUUAACUGUUGGAGCUGUUACACCGUCUGCUGAACCCAGGACGCUCGGCUACAACAGUUACAUUAACGAGACCCAGAGUCCACCGCCACGCUGACAUGUUGGCAUUCAUCAUGUUGUCAUGCUAUCAUUUGCUCAUUAGCACUGAGCAGUGUGCGGCUACUUUAGGGAUGAUCUGCUGAUUUCAACCAGCUGUUCAUCAGAGCAGUGUGGCAUGUCUGUGAAAAUGAACUGUGGUAAAGUUUCCUCCAUCUGACCAGCGCUCACAUCUCUCUGCUCCUCUGCCAGAACAAAUCUGCAGCUCUCAAACUACAGAUUGUGUUGACUCAUCUCUGUUUGCCCGCCACCACGGACACAAAGAGUAUAGGAGCAGAUCCAGAAACAGACCCGCCCCUCUGUCUCACACUCAGAGCAAAUAGUAAAUUUUAAACACACAAAUUAUUGAUUUUAGUACAAAUUAAACUUUUGAUAAGAGUCAUAACUGAGAGCUUUUUCAGUCCUCUACAUACAAUUUGCUGCAAUAAAAAUGACUGAAGUCAAACUGAGAGGCUGAAAACUUUUUAUCUUAUUAAAUAAAACAGAUGAUGAUUUUUGAAGAAGUUUUGGGAAAAAAUGUACAACCGAAAAAUCUAAUAAAUCACAAUAUAUCACAGUCAGUGUUAUCGCAAUACUCAGCAUAUUGCAACACUGCACUAAUAUUGUAUCGUAGGGUGUCCGGUGAUUCACAACCCUAACUCUCACAGAACAGUUCAAUGAUAUCCUACGAAAUUUGCGCCCCACUAAUGACGUUACGUCCUUAACGUACAGUUGUGUAAUUAACGUAAAGUUACUGUGGUUAAGUUUAAGAAUAGAAACAUGAGGACGGGACUUAAAAUGACUCAGAGUUCACACAGAUCCAAACACGUGACUCAGCCCACCAGCCCAACCUGCCUCCUCGCAAGCGCUCGGACUGCUUCCUGUUUACUGCUUUUGUUUCCUCACUGUAGCCAGUAUCUCACUGUCACUAUCCUCACUCAGAUUUUAAGAAGCUACAAAUUAUAUUCAGCCACAAAAUAAGUCUGAAAAUCUUUGGUCUGAACUUCACUUUGCAGUCAGCCAUCCUGGAAUAAUGUGAGACCACGUCCACGUCGUAACAACGUUGUUCUGUGAGUCACAAACACUAGUUUGUUUGUUUUUAUCAGCUGCUGCAGGAAACUUUAGAUUCUUGUCUUGUUGUGAACCAUGAAAGUUUCCAGAGUUAUAAAAGCUUUCAUAAACUGAUUAUAAGUUGGAUCUGUGUUGCUUUAUAUCAGCUGCUGAUAGAGAGCAGCUAGACGGAGAUGGACUGAUAUGAAAAUGUGAGUUUAAGAAGCAGAUGGUGUUUGUUGCUUUACAGGACAGAUUACAGGAACAACAAACCUGUGUGUGUGAGCUGUGUCCUCAGACUACCUGAGAACAAACGCUGUGUUGUGUGACUCAGUGCUGCUGACCAGCUGCAGAUUGCUUCACCUCCCUGAGAGCCUGACACAUGAAGAUAAGUUACUGAUUUCCAUAUUCCAGGAAAAAAAAGGAGGUCUGGGAGGAACCGCUGUGAAAAACAACAUCCUCAGAGAAAGCGAAGGGAGGACAGUGUUGAGUGUUGAGUGUUUGUCUCCCACAGAUAUCAGACGACAAAUGAAAACACGUCAUCAAACAAGUGACCAGCACGGGAACAAAAGCGAGUCCUAAUUAAGCGAAUGUUCUGAUCUAACGAGCUCGAGUCCUGAGCAGGCACCUGGUGUGUUUUAAAUCAUAGUGUUUUGGAGAUGUAACCGCAGAGUGACACAGACACACCACCGCACAAGUAUUAAUGCUCACGCAGGCUCUGCAUAGAGCUGACACACAGAUAUCAAUCCACCUUAAGGUCCGAACACACACAUGCACAUACUGGACCUAUACAUGCACUAAGUGGAGAGAUGUCAGAGUGGGCUGCCCAUGACAGGCGCUCCGAGCGGUUGGGGGGUUUGGUGCCUUGCUCAGGGGCACCUCUCCAGCUACCAGUCCACGCUCCAUAUUUUGGUCCGGACGGGGACUUGAGAAAGGAAGUGGAAGAAAGCAAAGAAUCUCAGCAGAGAGCUGCCGUCCUCUCUUCAGCCAAUUUGAGCUCCUGAGCUCUGGGAGGCGCUACAGAGUCUUAACUUAAGAAGUUCUUCAUCCCAGCUGACAUCAGGAUCCUCGACACAGUGGGUGCUGAGUUUUAAAGCACAGACAGAUGAUCAGCUGAUUUCAUGUGUUCAGUGUUUAUUCACAUGCUUCAGUCACCAGGUGCUGCCAGUGUUGGAACUGUACAUUUUAUUCAGUGUACGAAUCCUCACAAAUGUCUGUUCUCCCUGACGUUGUAAAGCCUGUCGUAUACGCACAGCACUGUUUUGUCUUUCCCUGGAUCCCAUCUUGAAAAGCAUCUUUGGCGCUCUCUGACAUUUUGGCGUGAUGUUCCUCGGCUGCAGAUUCAGAGUCAGAGUCACAGUCAGAUUCAGACGGCUGCUCUCCAGCGGGGAAGUUUUUGAUCUGUCAGAUUUAAACUUGGUGAUAAAUCUUCAGACAUGGGAGCAGAAACUUUUCGGGGAGUGGAGCACAGUGUUACUGCAUCUGACUCUUCACAGCCUCUGUAUGUGAAUGAGACGGGUCUGCUGGGCGGCGUCUCCAUGACGACGAACAUUUGUGCUGAUUCUGAAUAAAUCUGCUCGAACAGAGAAUUCACACAGAAACUGUUUGAAUUAUGAUGUCUGUUUGAGUCAUGAUGUCUGUUUGAGUCAUGAUGUCACUUCCUGGUCUGUAACUUAAUGCAAUCUCUCACUCAGCAUUACUCUCAUCUGUCUGUCUGAAAACAUGAAGUCUGUUCCUGGAGUUUACUUCCUAGUUUAUUCUGAGACAAAUCAACAGAGUAUAAACUGUAGAGGAUCUCCUCCCCAGACUCUCUGUGCUCCUCUAUUGAAUGAGGUGAAGGAGUUCAGAGGCCUGAGGAAUGAAAUGAUGUCAAACAGACUUUGAAGGAGUUUGAAUUAAAGACAGUGAAAUGGUUCUAAAAUGGCUGAAAACCUUUCUGUCAAGUAUUCAACGACCUCAGAAUGAGACCGUGUUGUGCAUCCUGUUUGGAUCUGAGACAGUAGACGAAGCACCGAAUCUACAGUCACAUCUUCUACAGACUUUAUACUUGUGGUUUAUAUUCAACACAUUCCUGCACUGACUGUACAGAACUUUGUGUUUUCUGUUGUAACUGUUUCUAUUUUACAGCUAGUUAUGUUUUAUAUGAGGUCUCUGACCUUUCACACUGUGUUUCUGUUAAUGCAACUUGUACAUGCAAACCUCAGUGAGCUGUAAAAGCACCUGCUCGUCGUCACUCACCUGUUCCUCCUCUCCUCAUCAGUUCCUCAGUAUGUCAGCUGCUCCACUGUCAGUCACUCUCUGUCAGACUGUCUCUGAGCUGUGUCCCUCACAGUUGCAGUUUUUGAUAUUUGUUUUCUGACUUUAAUCUAGACUUUGACCCUGCCUGUAGUUUUUCAGAUUCAGCUUCAGUCCAACCAUCCUGAUACUGACACUGUGUCGCAUGGGUGCAGAUCUGAUGACAAGUUUGGGGGGGACACAAUCAGUCGCUUGAGAUUGCCAGCAUAUGUCACGAUUUCAUAGAGGCUCAUCACCAUCACCAAGUCAUUCAAAAAGCACUACAAAGAGAAUCAUAUGCUUACCUUUACUGUUUAUUUCUCUUAAACAGCCAGUAGCACAUGGAGCCAGCCAUCACCCUCCUUUUCACUGCUUCGCUGUUAGUUAAUGCUACUUCUAGUUUCAGGGUCUCAGGCAUGUUAUGUCCACUCACGUUCUCAUCUCUCGCCUCUCAUGGAUUCCCAUUUCUCCUCAUCAUCUUCCCUUUCUCCCAGUAUAUAGGACUACUGUAUACAUUUGUUCAAUUUCAAUCAUUUAAGCUAUUUAGAAUUCGGAGGGACAAUUUGUGUUUUUCAGAAUUUGGGGGCGACAUGUCCCCCCCGUCCCCCCCAUGAUCUGCACCCAUGUUGU